AUAUUUUUCUGACGAGACCGCUGGGAUAAACCCAGAGGAAGGUGGGGAUGACGUCAAGUCAGCAUGGCCCUUACGCCCUGGGCUACACACACGCUACAAUGGCCGGUACAAUGGGCUGCCAAGGCGCGAGCCGGAGCUAAUCCCGCAAAACCGGCCCCAGUUCAGAUUGCAGGCUGCAACUCGCCUGCAUGAAGGCGGAGUCGCUAGUAACCGCAGGUCAGCACACUGCGGUGAAUACGUUCCCGGGCCUUGUACACACCGCCCGUCACGUCAUGGAAGCCGGCAGCACCUGAAGCCGCUGAGCCAACGCGUAAGCGAGGCAGGCGCCUAGGGUGAGGCUGGUAACUGGGACGAAGUCGUAACAAGGUAGCCGUACGGGAACGUGCGGCUGGAUCACCUCCUUU
Molecule: ribosomal RNA, 404 nt
Filed under: Dehalococcoidia bacterium
Lineage: Bacteria; Bacillati; Chloroflexota; Dehalococcoidia
Description: bacterial SSU rRNA
Rfam family: Bacterial small subunit ribosomal RNA
Source: RNAcentral